ACAGGUUGAUAAUUUGUGUAAACAUGUCCAAUCAAGUCGGCUUUUUAAGGGGAGUGAUUUAGUCAUCACGUCCCCUUUGUUAAGAUAUAACCCGUAUGUUCAAGCUAGAAGCAGGAUAAAUCAACUCAAAAGGUUGGGCCACAGUGUCGAUAAGGUUGAAUUCAUCUUGAUGGGAGGCUAGUGAGCUUGUCAGAAAAGAGUAUGACUUUAAAUGUAGACUCUUUAGACAACUAGAAUCGAAGGGAGAAAGUUCCAAGAAGGUUGAUAAAACUCGAGCUGUUGUGAAGGACUUGCACUCAAGAAUCAGAGUUGCAAUUCACAGAAUUAACUCAAUAUCAAAGAAAAUUGAGGAGCUAAGAGACAAUGAGCUUCAGCCACAACUUGAGAAGUUGAUUGAAGGGUAUGUGAUG
Molecule: non-coding RNA, 410 nt
Organism: Camellia sinensis
Lineage: Eukaryota; Viridiplantae; Streptophyta; Magnoliopsida; Ericales; Theaceae
Source: RefSeq, a predicted model, not a curated record